GACGUAGGGGGCAAGCGUUGUCCGGAAUUAUUGGGCGUAAAGCGCUCGUAGGCGGAUCGGUAAGUCUGUGAAGAAAGACCCGGGCUCAACUCGGGGAACGGCAUAGAUACUGCUGAUCUUGAGACAGUCAGAGGAUGAUGGAAUUCCAGGUGUAGCGGUGAAAUGCGUAGAUAUCUGGAGGAACACUAGUGGCGAAGGCGAUCAUCUGGGGCUGCUCUGACGCUGAGGAGCGAAAGCUAGGGGAGCAAACGGG
RNAcentral lists this ribosomal RNA (253 nucleotides) under uncultured bacterium. RNAcentral's name for it is "partial 16S ribosomal RNA". It matches the Rfam family "Bacterial small subunit ribosomal RNA", at positions 524 to 776 of the family's 1533-position model. The record is from RNAcentral.